Molecule: ribosomal RNA, 506 nt
Filed under: Ischnocnema parva
Lineage: Eukaryota; Metazoa; Chordata; Amphibia; Anura; Brachycephalidae
Description: partial 16S ribosomal RNA
Rfam family: Bacterial large subunit ribosomal RNA
Source: RNAcentral
GUUCAACGGCCGCGGUAUCCUGACCGUGCGAAGGUAGCGUAAUCACUUGUCUUUUAAAUUGAGACUAGUAUGAAAGGCACCACGAGAAUUAAACUGUCUCCUUUUUCUAAUCUGUGAAACUGAUCCCCCCGUGAAGAAGCGGGGAUUUUGAUAUAAGACGAGAAGACCCUAUGGAGCUUCAGACAAAUAACAAUGCCCUCCCUUUUUUUUCUAAAAAAUACCCGAGCAUCUUAAUUAUUUAGUCUUAGGUUGGGGCGACCAUGGAGUAAAAAUCACCCUCCAUGCUGAACAGGACCUCCUUAAAUAAGAGUAACAACUCUAAGAAUCAAUAAAUUGACACAUUUGACCCAAUUACUUGAUCAACGAAACAAGUUACCCUAGGGAUAACAGCGCAAUCCACUUCAAGAGCCCUUAUCAACAAGUGGGUUUACGACCUCGAUGUUGGAUCAGGGUAUCCCAGUGGUGCAGCCGCUACUAAAGGUUUGUUUGUUCAACAAUUAAAACCC